GCGUUCCCUUUGCAACAAAAAUAUUUACAAUUGCUAUCAAGGAAAGUUCUGAUGCAGUAUUGAUGUUGUCAUUAGCAGGACCGAAUGCACUUUGUCCUGCAUAUAACUCAUUAAGGAGCUAUGGGAAAAAGCAGAAGCAAAGACAAGUUGUAUUUUUUUCUAUAAGAAAGACAGCAUACACUGAAGAGUCCAAACUUCUGCCUGGAAAGUCAUGUGCACUGAUUUAUGCUCUUCAGGCUGGAAAGAGAAGAUAUGGAGUGUGAUGGCAAAGGUAUUUGGGGACUUUCUCUGGUGGCGAUGAUUCUUUUCUGCAGAGCUCGUCAGGUAAAACUUAAGCAGUGCUUUGCUCUCACCGGCAAUGGAGUAGCUCCACCACCUGGGGAGGGCAGUCCCUGUGCCUGGCUUCUAUUGAGUAAGCAUCCUAAAGGACCAUCCAGCCCAGGACCAUUUCCAAAUGAGUGGACUGCAGAGGCUUGCAGAGCUCAGGACCCAGGGCAGGGGAAUCUGUCUUCACUCCUGGGCUCCAGAACCCACAGGGAGAAGUGCUUAAACCUACAUAAAUAAUAUAAUCCCUGGGCAUUGGCAAAGGAAAAAAUAGAAAAGACACAAAGGCUGUCAUGAAGGAAAGGUUUGUCUCUCCACAGAAGGAGCACAACUGAUUCCUGCCCGCCUGCUCUGAGGGGCUGCAGGAAAGGUGAGCUCAACAGGGACAAUGUUCCUGGCUCUAUUUCCUGCAUGAAGCAUGGAACAGAUUGAUGGAGCUGUGCCAUCAUGGGCAGUUAGAACCGAGCUGAGCAAUGCCGUCACCCUGCCAUCUUUCUAGGAUCCUUCGUUUGAAGCAGUUGACAAUGUCAGCCUGUGAUUGAGGAAGUUUGAUGAGUAAAGCAAGAUGCUGUAAAUCUUCUGUAAAUCUUUGUCUUCAUUUCCUCCAGUAUGAAAAUUUUCUCAUGAGCAUUUGUGGUCACAGGAGAUUAUCUGGACUACUACUCUCUUCUGUAACAUGCAGUGAAUUAAAGCUUGCUCAGAAUUGCCUCACACUUUUAUAAGUCAUCUUCCUGGCUUUGUGCAAUGCAUUAAUUAAUCCUACUUAGCAUAGGGAUGGACUUCCUCCCACCGUGGAUAUCUUCUUCCAUCUGCAAUUAUUAUUCUCUACUUAGAAAAAGCAUUGUUUCCUAUUGAUCAGCUAGAAUUUUCAUUAUGCCCAUGGGUUACAUAUGUGGAGUAGAUCUCACACAAAUGUGAUGUUAAUACUGAUUGCACUUGGUCUGCUCCCAUUUGUUAUCUAUUGAUUUUCAGUGCUUUGGCAUAACCAUGUCAGUAUUUAGUAAAAAUCCCCAUGUCUCAGUGGAACAAUUAACUGGUACAGUGUAUUUGUGCCUGGAUGCACAUUUGUGCAAUCGGUGAAUUUCAAGAGCUGUAAGCACAACCUCGCCUGUAUGAAAUACAUUUUAAGAGCUGACAUUAAAGUUAAUAUGAAAGUUCAGAGGUGCAAAAUAAUUUAAAUGCACAGAAGAGGUAGCAAUAACGUUUCUAAACUGAGGCAGUGAAUUAUGUAUAUAAGAAAUAUUAAAAAUGCAAAGCUGACUCUAUUUGCAUUCAGAAUGCCCCCUA
Molecule: long non-coding RNA, 1611 nt
Organism: Phasianus colchicus (ring-necked pheasant)
Lineage: Eukaryota; Metazoa; Chordata; Aves; Galliformes; Phasianidae
Source: Ensembl